This 1473-nucleotide ribosomal RNA is filed under the name Vibrio parahaemolyticus. RNAcentral's name for it is "16S ribosomal RNA". It matches the Rfam family "Bacterial small subunit ribosomal RNA". Lineage: Bacteria; Pseudomonadati; Pseudomonadota; Gammaproteobacteria; Vibrionales; Vibrionaceae. The record is from RNAcentral.
AGAGUUUGAUCCUGGCUCAGAUUGAACGCUGGCGGCAGGCCUAACACAUGCAAGUCGAGCGGAAACGAGUUAUCUGAACCUUCCGGGAACGAUAACGGCGUCGAGCGGCGGACGGGUGAGUAAUGCCUAGGAAAUUGCCCUGAUGUGGGGGAUAACCAUUGGAAACGAUGGCUAAUACCGCAUGAUGCCUACGGGCCAAAGAGGGGGACCUUCGGGCCUCUCGCGUCAGGAUAUGCCUAGGUGGGAUUAGCUAGUUGGUGAGGUAAGGGCUCACCAAGGCGACGAUCCCUAGCUGGUCUGAGAGGAUGAUCAGCCUCACUGGAACUGAGACACGGUCCAGACUCCUACGGGAGGCAGCAGUGGGGAAUAUUGCACAAUGGGCGCAAGCCUGAUGCAGCCAUGCCGCGUGUGUGAAGAAGGCCUUCGGGUUGUAAAGCACUUUCAGUCGUGAGGAAGGUAGUGUAGUUAAUAGCUGCAUUAUUUGACGUUAGCGACAGAAGAAGCACCGGCUAACUCCGUGCCAGCAGCCGCGGUAAUACGGAGGGUGCGAGCGUUAAUCGGAAUUACUGGGCGUAAAGCGCAUGCAGGUGGUUUGUUAAGUCAGAUGUGUAAGCCCGGGGCUCAACCUCGGAAUAGCAUUUGAAACUGGCAGACUAGAGUACUGUAGAGGGGGGUAGAAUUUCAGGUGUAGCGGUGAAAUGCGUAGAGAUCUGAAGGAAUACCGGUGGCGAAGGCGGCCCCCUGGACAGAUACUGACACUCAGAUGCGAAAGCGUGGGGAGCAAACAGGAUUAGAUACCCUGGUAGUCCACGCCGUAAACGAUGUCUACUUGGAGGUUGUGGCCUUGAGCCGUGGCUUUCGGAGCUAACGCGUUAAGUAGACCGCCUGGGGAGUACGGUCGCAAGAUUAAAACUCAAAUGAAUUGACGGGGGCCCGCACAAGCGGUGGAGCAUGUGGUUUAAUUCGAUGCAACGCGAAGAACCUUACCUACUCUUGACAUCCAGAGAACUUUCCAGAGAUGGAUUGGUGCCUACGGGAACUCUGAGACAGGUGCUGCAUGGCUGUCGUCAGCUCGUGUUGUGAAAUGUUGGGUUAAGUCCCGCAACGAGCGCAACCCUUAUCCUUGUUUGCCAGCGAGUAAUGUCGGGAACUCCAGGGAGACUGCCGGUGAUAAACCGGAGGAAGGUGGGGACGACGUCAAGUCAUCAUGGCCCUUACGAGUAGGGCUACACACGUGCUACAAUGGCGCAUACAGAGGGCGGCCAACUUGCGAAAGUGAGCGAAUCCCAAAAAGUGCGUCGUAGUCCGGAUUGGAGUCUGCAACUCGACUCCAUGAAGUAGGAAUCGCUAGUAAUCGUGGAUCAGAAUGCCACGGUGAAUACGUUCCCGGGCCUUGUACACACCGCCCGUCACACCAUGGGAGUGGGCUGCAAAAGAAGUAGGUAGUUUAACCUUCGGGGGGACGCUUACCAC